AUCAACAAAUUAAAUAGAUCUAGAGAAUAUCAGUGAAAAUUU
RNAcentral lists this non-coding RNA (42 nucleotides) under Trypanosoma brucei brucei. The record is from RNAcentral. Lineage: Eukaryota; Euglenozoa; Kinetoplastea; Trypanosomatida; Trypanosomatidae.